RNAcentral lists this ribosomal RNA (301 nucleotides) under uncultured bacterium. Its description in RNAcentral is "partial 16S ribosomal RNA". It matches the Rfam family "Bacterial small subunit ribosomal RNA", at positions 509 to 807 of the family's 1533-position model. The record is from RNAcentral.
CAGUCGCCGCGGUAAUACGAAGGGUGCAAGCGUUAAUCGGAAUUACUGGGCGUAAAGCGUGCGUAGGCGGUGAGUUAAGUCUGCUGUGAAAUCCCCGGGCUCAACCUGGGAAUGGCAGUGGAUACUGGCUCGCUAGAGUGUGUCAGAGGAUGGUGGAAUUCCCGGUGUAGCGGUGAAAUGCGUAGAGAUCGGGAGGAACAUCAGUGGCGAAGGCGGCCAUCUGGGACAACACUGACGCUGAGGCACGAAAGCGUGGGGAGCAGACAGGAUUAGAUACCCCCGUAGUCCCUGUCUCUUAUAC